Molecule: ribosomal RNA, 200 nt
Filed under: uncultured bacterium
Lineage: Bacteria
Description: partial 16S ribosomal RNA
Rfam family: Bacterial small subunit ribosomal RNA
Source: RNAcentral
AGAGUUUGAUCAUGGCUCAGGAUAAACGCUGGCGGCGUGCCUAACACAUGCAAGUCGAACGCCCUUAGCAAUAAGGGAGUGGCGGACGGGUGAGGAACACGUGGGUUAUCUACCUUGAGGUGAGGAAUACCGGCGAGAAAUCGCCGACAAUACCGCAUAUGUUUGGAAACAAACAAAGUCGAGUGAUCGACGCCACAAGA